This 310-nucleotide ribosomal RNA is filed under the name uncultured bacterium. RNAcentral describes it as "bacterial SSU rRNA". It matches the Rfam family "Bacterial small subunit ribosomal RNA", at positions 29 to 366 of the family's 1533-position model. The record is from RNAcentral.
AACGAACGCUGGCGGCAGGCUUAACACAUGCAAGUCGAACGGGCUCUUCGGAGGCAGUGGCAGACGGGUGAGUAAUGCAUGGGAAUCUACCGUUCUCUACGGAAUAACUCAGGGAAACUUGUGCUAAUACCGUAUACGCCCUUUUGGGGAAAGAUUUAUCGGAGAAUGAUGAGCCCAUGUUGGAUUAGCUAGUUGGUAGGGUAAAGGCCUACCAAGGCGACGAUCCAUAGCUGGUCUGAGAGGAUGAUCAGCCACACUGGGACUGAGACACGGCCCAGACUCCUACGGGAGGCAGCAGUGGGGAAUAUUG